This 433-nucleotide ribosomal RNA is filed under the name uncultured bacterium. RNAcentral's name for it is "partial 16S ribosomal RNA". It matches the Rfam family "Bacterial small subunit ribosomal RNA", at positions 29 to 507 of the family's 1533-position model. The record is from RNAcentral.
AACGAACGCUGGCGGCAUGCCUAACACAUGCAAGUCGAACGAGACCUUCGGGUCUAGUGGCGCACGGGUGCGUAACGCGUGGGAACCUGCCCUUAGGUUCGGAAUAACUCCCCGAAAGGGGUGCUAAUACCGGAUAAUGUCUUCGGACCAAAGAUUUAUCGCCUUUGGAUGGGCCCGCGUUGGAUUAGCUAGUUGGUAGGGUAAAAGCCUACCAAGGCGACGAUCCAUAGCUGGUCUGAGAGGAUGAUCAGCCACACUGGGACUGAGACACGGCCCAGACUCCUGCGGGAGGCAGCAGUGGGGAAUAUUGGACAAUGGGCUAAGGCCUGAUCCAGCAAUGCCUCGUGAGUGAUGAAGGCCUUAGGGUUGUAAAGCUCUUUUACCCGGGAUGAUAAUGACAUUACCGGGAGAAUAAGCUCCGGCUAACUCCGUG